RNAcentral lists this ribosomal RNA (437 nucleotides) under Rhodococcus sp. (in: high G+C Gram-positive bacteria). Its description in RNAcentral is "bacterial SSU rRNA". It matches the Rfam family "Bacterial small subunit ribosomal RNA", at positions 24 to 476 of the family's 1533-position model. Lineage: Bacteria; Bacillati; Actinomycetota; Actinomycetes; Mycobacteriales; Nocardiaceae. The record is from RNAcentral.
UCAGGACGAACGCUGGCGGCGUGCUUAACACAUGCAAGUCGAGCGGUAAGGCCUUUCGGGGUACACGAGCGGCGAACGGGUGAGUAACACGUGGGUGACCUGCCCUUCACUCUGGGAUAAGCCUUGGAAACGGGGUCUAAUACCGGAUAUGACCUCCUGCUGCAUGGUGGGGGGUGGAAAGCGUUUAGUGGUGAGGGAUGGACCCGCGGCCUAUCAGCUUGUUGGUGGGGUAAUGGCCUACCAAGGCGACGACGGGUAGCCGGCCUGAGAGGGCGACCGGCCACACUGGGACUGAGACACGGCCCAGACUCCUACGGGAGGCAGCAGUGGGGAAUAUUGCACAAUGGGCGGAAGCCUGAUGCAGCGACGCCGCGUGAGGGAUGACGGCCUUCGGGUUGUAAACCUCUUUCACCCAUGACGGAAGCGAGAGUGACGGU